This is a long non-coding RNA of Lotus japonicus, 227 nucleotides long. RefSeq lists it as uncharacterized. NCBI's taxonomy places the organism in Eukaryota, Viridiplantae, Streptophyta, Magnoliopsida, Fabales, Fabaceae. The record is from RefSeq and is a predicted model, not a curated record. The transcript has 3 exons.
AUCCAACUCUCAAGCAGUUCAUAAUUUCAUAACUUCUACUCACAAACUCCUUACUACCAGCACAACAUAAAUGGCUCUUCCUCUUCAAGAUAUCUCUAAUCAAAUUCAGUUAUCAUCAAAGGAUAAAGCUGAAAGUGCAACAGGAAAUAAUAAGAAGAAGUAUAAACGUGGUUGUGCUCCAAGAAAACCUAAUCAACAACGACCAAAAAAACAGAGGACGAGUAGGA